GUGGGAUCAAACAGGAUUAGAUACCCUGUAGUCCACGCAGUAAACGAUGAUGCUAACCGCUGGCCCGUUCGGUUCAGUGGCCCAAGCGAAAGCGAUAAGCCAUCCACCUGGGGAGUACGACCGCAAGGUUGAAACUCAAAGGAAUUGACGGGGGCCCGCACAAGCGGAGGAACAUGUGGUUUAAUUCGAUGAUACGCGAGGAACCUUACCCGGGCUCGAACGGCUGGCGAAGAGAUCCAGAGAUGGUGACGUCCUUCGGGACGCCAGUCGAGGUGCUGCAUGGUUGUCGUCAGCUCGUGCCGUGAGGUGUCGGCUCAAGUGCCAUAACGAGCGCAACCCUUGCCGUCAGUUACCAUCAAGUAGUGUUGGGGACUCUGGCGGGACUGCCACCGCAAGGUGUGAGGAAGGGGGGGAUGACGUCAAAUCAGCACGGCCCUUACGUCCGGGGCGACACACGUGUUACAAUGGCGGCCACAGAGGGGCACUACCUGGCGACAGGAUGGGAAUCUCGAAAAGCCGUCUCAGUCCGGAUCGGAGUCUGCAACCCGACUCCGUGAAGCUGGAUUCGCUAGUAAUCGCGCAUCAGCCAUGGCGCGGUGAAUACGUUCCCGGGCCUUGUACACACCGCCCGUCAAGCCAUGAAAGUCUGGGGCGCCUGAAGUCCGUGACCGAGAGGAGCGGCCUAGGGCGAAACAGGUAAUUGGGGCU
Molecule: ribosomal RNA, 708 nt
Filed under: uncultured bacterium
Lineage: Bacteria
Description: bacterial SSU rRNA
Rfam family: Bacterial small subunit ribosomal RNA
Source: RNAcentral